This 699-nucleotide ribosomal RNA is filed under the name uncultured bacterium. RNAcentral's name for it is "bacterial SSU rRNA". It matches the Rfam family "Bacterial small subunit ribosomal RNA", at positions 811 to 1504 of the family's 1533-position model. The record is from RNAcentral.
GAACACUAGGUGUGGCGGACUGAUUCACGUCUGCUGCGCCGUAGCUAACGCAUUAAGUGUUCCGCCUGGGGAGUACGGCCGCAAGGCUAAAACUCAAAGGAAUUGACGGGGCCCCGCACAAGCGGCGGAGCAUGCGGCUUAAUUCGAUGCAACCCGAAGAACCUUACCUGGGUUUGACAUGGUGGGUCUAGCUGUGGAAACACAGUGUGCUUAGGCGCUCAUCACAGGUGGUGCAUGGCUGUCGUCAGCUCGUGUCGUGAGAUGUUGGGUUAAGUCCCGCAACGAGCGCAACCCUCGUCCUAUGUUGCCAGCACGUAAUGGUGGGGACUCAUGGGAGACUGCCGGGGACAACUCGGAGGAAGGCGAGGACGAUGUCAAGUCAUCAUGCCCCUUAUAUCCAGGGCUGCACGCAUGCUACAAUGGGCGGUACAGUGGGCCGCGAUCUCGCAAGAGUCAGCCAAUCCCUCAAAGCCGUCCCCAGUUCGGAUUGAAGUCUGCAACUCGACUUCAUGAAGCCGGAGUCGCUAGUAAUCGUGGAUCAGCUAUGCCACGGUGAAUACGUUCUCGGGGCUUGUACACACCGCCCGUCACAUCACGGAAGUCGGUAACACCCGAAGUCAGUGGCCUAACCCUUUAUUGGGAAGGAGCUGCCUAAGGUGGGAUUGGUAACUGGGAUGAAGUCGUAACAAGGUAGCCGUA